RNAcentral lists this ribosomal RNA (555 nucleotides) under uncultured haloarchaeon. RNAcentral's name for it is "bacterial SSU rRNA". It matches the Rfam family "Archaeal small subunit ribosomal RNA", at positions 332 to 886 of the family's 1478-position model. Lineage: Archaea; Methanobacteriati; Methanobacteriota; Halobacteria; Halobacteriales; Halobacteriaceae. The record is from RNAcentral.
GCAGCAGGCGCGAAACCUUUACACUGCACGCCAGUGCGAUAAGGGGACUCCAAGUGCGAGGGCAUAUCGUCCUCGCUUUUGUGUACCGUAAGGUGGUACACGAAUAAGGGCUGGGCAAGACCGGUGCCAGCCGCCGCGGUAAUACCGGCAGCCCAAGUGAUGACCGCUCUUAUUGGGCCUAAAGCGUCCGUAGCUGGCCUCGCAAGUCCAUCGGGAAAUCCGCGCGCUCAACGCGCGGGCGUCCGGUGGAAACUGCGUGGCUUGGGACCGGAAGACCCGAGGGGUACGUUUGGGGUAGGAGUGAAAUCCCGUAAUCCUGGACGGACCACCGGUGACGAAAGCGCCUCGGGAGGACGGAUCCGACGGUGAGGGACGAAAGCCAGGGUCACGAACCGGAUUAGAUACCCGGGUAGUCCUGGCCGUAAACGAUGUCUGCUAGGUGUGUCACAGGCUACGAGCCUGUGAUGUGCCGUAGGGAAGCCGUGAAGCAGACCGCCUGGGAAGUACGUCCGCAAGGAUGAAACUUAAAGGAAUUGGCGGGGGAGCACUACAACC